GGGUAACCUGCCCAUAAGACUGGGAUAACUCCGGGAAACCGGGGCUAAUACCGGAUAACAUUUUGAACCGCAUGGUUCGAAAUUGAAAGGGGGCUUCGGCUGUCACUUAUGGAUGGACCCGCGUCGCAUUAGCUAGUUGGUGAGGUAACGGCUCACCAAGGCAACGAUGCGUAGCCGACCUGAGAGGGUGAUCGGCCACACUGGGACUGAGACACGGCCCAGACUCCUACGGGAGGCAGCAGUAGGGAAUCUUCCGCAAUGGACGAAAGUCUGACGGAGCAACGCCGCGUGAGUGAUGAAGGCUUUCGGGUCGUAAAACUCUGUUGUUAGGGAAGAACAAGUGCUAGUUGAAUAAGCUGGCACCUUGACGGUACCUAACCAGAAAGCCACGGCUAACUACGUGCCAGCAGCCGCGGUAAUACGUAGGUGGCAAGCGUUAUCCGGAAUUAUUGGGCGU
RNAcentral lists this ribosomal RNA (457 nucleotides) under Bacillus cereus. RNAcentral describes it as "bacterial SSU rRNA". It matches the Rfam family "Bacterial small subunit ribosomal RNA", at positions 119 to 561 of the family's 1533-position model. The record is from RNAcentral. Lineage: Bacteria; Bacillati; Bacillota; Bacilli; Caryophanales; Bacillaceae.